RNAcentral lists this ribosomal RNA (640 nucleotides) under Marinobacter sp. RNAcentral describes it as "bacterial SSU rRNA". It matches the Rfam family "Bacterial small subunit ribosomal RNA", at positions 77 to 713 of the family's 1533-position model. The record is from RNAcentral. Lineage: Bacteria; Pseudomonadati; Pseudomonadota; Gammaproteobacteria; Pseudomonadales; Marinobacteraceae.
CUUGCUACCCGCUGACGAGCGGCGGACGGGUGAGUAAUGCAUAGGAAACUGCCCAGUAGUGGGGGAUAGCCCGGGGAAACCCGGAUUAAUACCGCAUACGUCCUUCGGGAGAAAGCAGGGGAUCUUCGGACCUUGCGCUAUUGGAUGUGCCUAUGUCGGAUUAGCUAGUUGGUGGGGUAAAGGCCCACCAAGGCGACGAUCCGUAGCUGGUCUGAGAGGAUGAUCAGCCACAUCGGGACUGAGACACGGCCCGAACUCCUACGGGAGGCAGCAGUGGGGAAUAUUGGACAAUGGGGGCAACCCUGAUCCAGCCAUGCCGCGUGUGUGAAGAAGGCUUUCGGGUUGUAAAGCACUUUCAGUGAGGAGGAAAAGUUAGUCGUUAAUAUCGGCUAGCCUUGACGUUACUCACAGAAGAAGCACCGGCUAACUCCGUGCCAGCAGCCGCGGUAAUACGGAGGGUGCAAGCGUUAAUCGGAAUUACUGGGCGUAAAGCGCGCGUAGGUGGUUUGAUAAGCGAGAUGUGAAAGCCCCGGGCUUAACCUGGGAACGGCAUUUCGAACUGUCAGGCUAGAGUGUGGUAGAGGGUAGUGGAAUUUCCUGUGUAGCGGUGAAAUGCGUAGAUAUAGGAAGGAACACCAGU